CAAGUGGGAUGCGAAUCUCGAAAGCCUGUCUCAGUUCGGAUUGGAGGCUGAAACCCGCCUCCAUGAAGUUGGAUUCGCUAGUAGUCGCGCAUCAGCCAUGGCGCGGUGAAUACGUUCCCGGGCCUUGUACACACCGCCCGUCAAGCCAUGGGAGCCGGGGGUGCCUGAAGUUCGUGACCGCAAGGAGCGACCUAGGGCAAAACUGGUGACUGGGGCUAAGUCGUAACAAGGUAGC
RNAcentral lists this ribosomal RNA (235 nucleotides) under uncultured bacterium. Its description in RNAcentral is "partial 16S ribosomal RNA". It matches the Rfam family "Bacterial small subunit ribosomal RNA", at positions 1258 to 1500 of the family's 1533-position model. The record is from RNAcentral.